GUCUUGAUCUCCAAGUUAAGAGUUGUUGCUGUUCUCUACCAUGUUGCCAAGAACUGAAUGAAACUUGAUUCGCCAGCCCUAUUAAUUUUAUUGGUGGCAUCCAACAAGAGACAUUUUGGUUGCCUUUGAACAACUUCUUCUGGACCUAAACUAAAAGCAUAGAAGGCUACAAAUUGAAUAGACAAUGGGCAGCUAAUUUUUCCUUCCAAUUUUUUCCUGACAAACAUCCACACUUCCAUCAGGAUGAAUGGAAGGAGCAAAACUUGUGUUGGCAUGAAUAUGUAGCUAUUGCUCUGUACCUUUGGAGCUCUACUUGAAGUUCUUGGAUCAUACAUAAAAGUGUACUUGAGUUAAUGCAAAGAUCAAUUUUUGUCUGCAUGCAGUAUGAUAAUAGAAUCACGAGCCAUAAACAGAUCUAGACAAUCAAGCUUCAAGAGUUCAUAUUUCAUCUGACAAACAGAACAGCUACUAUCAAAUAAGUCUAUAUACCAAUUGAAUCUGUGCUUUAAAGCUUCAGCUUUGCAAUUAUUUAUAAUAGGGAAAAGGGAAGUUUCCUUGAUUCAAAUUUCCCUAAGUGUAAUUGUCUGUAUUUUCUGCCUGUAGGUAUAAGUAGAGGAAAUAAGAAGAGGGAAGUUGAAUAUCUCACCCUUUGUAACCUACUAUGGAAAGUACAAAAAACAAAUGUGCUAGUCAUUUAUGUAUUGAGUUGUCAUUUACCCAGAAUCACAAAGACUAAAAGCCCGAAAUUUCUUACAAAAUACAGAGACUGGUUUACUUCUAAUAUAUAGCUUGUUUAGGCUUUCAUACCAGUGUAAACUGGCUGAAUAAAAACUGCUGCAUGAAGAAAGUUGUCUACUGUUUUGUAAUCUUGUAAAUAUGUGUACUGGUGCAACUAUUUAAUAUUUUCAUCUUC
Long non-coding RNA from Crotalus tigris (Tiger rattlesnake), 913 nucleotides. RefSeq lists it as uncharacterized. The record is from RefSeq and is a predicted model, not a curated record. The transcript has 4 exons. NCBI's taxonomy places the organism in Eukaryota, Metazoa, Chordata, Lepidosauria, Squamata, Viperidae.